Alosa alosa (allis shad) is the source of this 2406-nucleotide long non-coding RNA. RefSeq lists it as uncharacterized. Lineage: Eukaryota; Metazoa; Chordata; Actinopteri; Clupeiformes; Clupeidae. The record is from RefSeq and is a predicted model, not a curated record. The transcript is spliced from 3 exons.
GGAAGGUGUUGCCCCUUUUGCUGCGGGGAAAGGGCCCCAUGAGGUCCAUGCCCAGCUUUUCCCAAGGAUCCUCCACUGGAGUAGGCUGCAUGAGGCCAGCCAGCUUCUGAUUUUCAGCCUUGUAGACUUGGCAGAUGGUACAGACCUUGAUUUGAUUCCAAACGUCUUUGCAAACGGAUGGCCACCAAGCUACCUCAAGGAUCCUCAGGAGUGUUUUCAGCCUGCCCAGAUGCCCACUCAGAGGAUGAUUGUGGAAGUAGGCCAGAAAGACAGGCACAAGAGACUUUGGGACAACCAGCUGAUAUUUAUCCCUCACAGGAGACCGUCGAUACAGGAGGCCUUGCAGCUUUGUGAAGCCCAUCCUGUCAGACCUACUAAGGGUGUCUGCCUCUUUGGCCAAGUCUGUGACCUCUGAAUCCUCUUCUUGUGCCUCCCUUAUUUCAGACAGGGAGGAGGGCAGUUCAGAGGAAUCGGACACAUUCGCCACAGCACAGACUGCAGCUAAAGAGUUAGGUGUAACAGCUCGGAGCAGGGCAUCAGGCACAAUGUUAUGGAGUCCUUUCCUGUAUUGUACUCUAAAUUGAAACUGCUGGAGCCGCAGGAUCCAGCGAGUCAGGCAAGAGGAGGUUUUUGGACAAUUGAAGACCCAGGUCAAGGCAGUAUGGUCUGUGUGUAUGGUGAACUCCGCCCCCUCAAGGUAGUGCCUCCACUUCUCAACAGCCCAGACGACUGCAAGACACUCCUUUUCAGAGGUGGAGUAAUUGCACUCUGCACCACGCAACCCCCUGGAUGCAUAGGCGAUCACCUUCUCCUCUUCAGCUGUUCUUUGCACCAGCACAGCCCCCAAACCCACAUCGCUGGCAUCCGUGUGGAUUUCAAAUGGCAGGGAGGUCUCAGGCUCCAUGAGGAUAGGUGCGUCCACCAGUGCCCUCUUCAGCUGAUCAAAACUUUGCUGACAUUCCUCUGACCAGACCCACUCUACAUCCUUCCUCUUCAGCCGAUUCAAUGGAGCAGCCAGGUCUGCAAAAUGGUGAAUAAAUUUGUGGUACCACCCCACAAGGCCUAAGAAACGCUGGAGGGUCUUGAUGUUAGUGGGCGGUGGAUACAUGGUCACUGCCAGAGUCUUUUCUAGAUCCACCUGCACACCCUUGUCCGAGACUACGUGGCCCAAGAACUUCAGCUCCUGCCGGAAAAAGGCACACUUCUUAAGGUGAAGUGUCAGUCCAGCUUUAUGGAGCUUCCCUUGCUGGUCCACCUUUCCCCAGUACUUUUUAGAUGAGGUGCAGUCUUUCUCCACCAGGGUACCAAUCUGAACCAGCUGGUCCACGUUUGUGACAGUGCCCUGGAGACAGCCAGCUAUUCGAGGGUUGCAGUUGUUCAGGAUCUUGCGCACCAACUCAGUCUUUGUGAUGUCUGGUUUCCACCACAGACAAAGAGCACGAUAGUCAUAAGCAAAAUCCCCAGACACUGAUCUGGCAACUGUACCAUGUCCCGUAGCUUUUCUUCUGCCUCGGUGAGAUAAUCAGGAGGGAGGAAGGCAUCCUUAAAGGCCUUCUUAAACUCAAGCCAGUUGUGCACAUUGUUUUUCGCCACCAGCUAUGUGCUGGCCCUUUAAGCGUGUUGGACAGGGCGCCUUUCAGCUCUGCAUCAGACGAUGGCCGCACUGCAAAAAAUGUUUCGCAGCGAUCAACAAAAUUAAGAACAUUGGCAGCUUCCCUGGACCCACUAAAAGAAGGAAACUCCAUCUGGAUAGCCGGCCUGGAAUAAACCACAGGAGGUCUGGGGGGGUGGGUUGGCUACCUGAAGCACUCAAAGGAGGUGAGAGGCUUGUGCUUAGUGUAAAAGGCGGUGUAGGUGGCUGAGAGAGUGCUCCCGUGAAUGGUGUCUAAAGCUGGGCACCUACCACAUUAUGCGCUGGUUGGCUUGGAAUGAGCUCUUGAACAUGAGUAGAGGGCUGCACAGCACUGUCAGAACUAGAUGCCAUGUCAGGAGUGGUCAUGUUGGCGAGAAGGAGAAGUGAUGCUACUGAUAGACGGGGUCAUAACAGGCCCUGCUGUGCUAAGAGAAGCAUGUGUUUGUGUGAAGGCACUGGAGGAACUAGGUGCCAAUGGAACACCAUAGUAAACUUGAGCAGGAGUGGAGCGGCUAUGAGGUGGAAGAAUAGUAGCUCCCGUGUGUGGAUAAGGCCUCGGGAGAGCAACAAGGCUGGUGCGCUUCAGCCGUUCAAUUUCUGCUUUCCAUUUUUCAUCACGCCUCUGCACUAUUAACAGAAUCUCUGAAGUCAGUCUCAAGUGUAUUUAAUCUGUCCAUGACUGAAUCUAAGUCGGUGGUAAUGGUUGUGAGAGCAGGAAGUGUGAGGAAUUCUUCUAGUGACCCAUGCAUCUCCCCUUGGUUCAUGGUGCAGUU